UUCAGCAUCUGAAGACCCAGAGUAAGGCCCAUCUGUCCCUACUAAGCCUGUGUACCUAUUUUGCUUGCUACCAGUUCUUAAUUCAUCAAAACCAAUAUCAACUCCUGCAUCACCUAGGUCAAUAUCACCUCUAUCUUUUGUCCUUUCACUCCUGUUCCUCCUAUACUUCCUCAGUUCUUCCCUACACUCUACAAAUUCUUAAUGAACAUUAUUCCUGCAUCACCUAGGUUAAUAUCACAUCUAUCUUUUGGCCUUUCACUCAUUUUCCUCCUAUACUUCCUCAGUUCAUCCCUACACUCUACAAUUCUUC
This 310-nucleotide long non-coding RNA is filed under the name Nicotiana benthamiana. Its description in RNAcentral is "long non-coding RNA (NBEN_LNC011604)". The record is from RNAcentral. Lineage: Eukaryota; Viridiplantae; Streptophyta; Magnoliopsida; Solanales; Solanaceae.